This 563-nucleotide ribosomal RNA is filed under the name uncultured bacterium. RNAcentral's name for it is "partial 16S ribosomal RNA". It matches the Rfam family "Bacterial small subunit ribosomal RNA", at positions 355 to 911 of the family's 1533-position model. The record is from RNAcentral.
UGGGGAAUUUUGGACAAUGGGGGAAACCCUGAUCCAGCCAUCCCGCGUGUGCGAUGAAGGCCUUCGGGUUGUAAAGCACUUUUGGCAGGAAAGAAACGUCGCGGGUUAAUACCCCGCGGAACUGACGGUACCUGCAGAAUAAGCACCGGCUAACUACGUGCCAGCAGCCGCGGUAAUACGUAGGGUGCAAGCGUUAAUCGGAAUUACUGGGCGUAAAGCGUGCGCAGGCGGUUCGGAAAGAAAGAUGUGAAAUCCCAGAGUUUAACUUUGGAACUGCAUUUUUAACUACCGGGCUAGAGUGUGUCAGAGGGAGGUGGAAUUCCGCGUGUAGCAGUGAAAUGCGUAGAUAUGCGGAGGAACACCGAUGGCGAAGGCAGCCUCCUGGGAUAACACUGACGCUCAUGCACGAAAGCGUGGGGAGCAAACAGGAUUAGAUACCCUGGUAGUCCACGCCCUAAACGAUGUCAACUAGCUGUUGGGGUCUUCGGACCUUGGUAGCGCAGCUAACGCGUGAAGUUGACCGCCUGGGGAGUACGGUCGCAAGAUUAAAACUCAAAGGAAUU